Molecule: ribosomal RNA, 591 nt
Filed under: Trichophyton tonsurans
Lineage: Eukaryota; Fungi; Ascomycota; Eurotiomycetes; Onygenales; Arthrodermataceae
Description: partial large subunit ribosomal RNA
Rfam family: Eukaryotic large subunit ribosomal RNA
Source: RNAcentral
CAAUGCAUAUCCCGGAAGCGGAGGAAAAGAAACCAACAGGGAUUGCCCCAGUAACGGCGAGUGAAGCGGCAAGAGCUCAAAUUUGAAAUCUGGCCUCCCCCGGGGGCCCGAGUUGUAAUUUGCAGAGGAUGUUUCGGGUGCGGCCGCCGUCUAAGUUCCUUGGAACAGGACGUCAGAGAGGGUGAGAAUCCCGUCUUGGGCGGGCGGUCCGCGCCCGUGUGAAGCUCCUUCGACGAGUCGAGUUGUUUGGGAAUGCAGCUCUAAGCGGGUGGUAAAUUUCAUCUAAAGCUAAAUAUUGGCCGGAGACCGAUAGCGCACAAGUAGAGUGAUCGAAAGGUUAAAAGCACCUUGAAAAGGGAGUUAAACAGCACGUGAAAUUGUUGAAAGGGAAGCGCUUGCGGCCAGACUCGGGGGCGGGGUUCAGCGGGUGCUCGUCGCCCGUGUAUUCCUCGUUUCCCGGGCCAGCAUCAGUUUCGACGGCCGGUCAAAGGCCCCCGGAAUGUGUCGUCUCUCGGGACGUCUUAUAGCCGGGGGUGCAAUGCGGCCCGUCGGGACUGAGGAUCGCGCUCCGCCUCGGAUGCAAUCGAGCGC